GCUGGUGAACUGCGGGUUGUAAUGCAGGAACACGGCACCGCGCAUCUGGUCGAUGUUGUGGAACAAAGGGUUCCAGUCAAACAUUGCUAUCAUUGAUGCGGGCAGUGUGUUGACAACAAACAUUUUGCCCGACGCGAGCAUAUUCACACGUG
RNAcentral lists this non-coding RNA (152 nucleotides) under Yoonia rosea. RNAcentral's name for it is "Loktanella rosea Ruegeria cis2 sRNA". It matches the Rfam family "Ruegeria cis2 sRNA". Rfam says of the family: Cis-encoded. Targets ABC transporter. Functions in transport. Lineage: Bacteria; Pseudomonadati; Pseudomonadota; Alphaproteobacteria; Rhodobacterales; Paracoccaceae. The record is from Rfam by way of RNAcentral.